GGGGAGUACGUUCGCAAGAAUGAAACUCAAAGGAAUUGACGGGGGCCCGCACAAGCGGUGGAGCAUGUGGUUUAAUUCGAUGAUACGCGAGGAACCUUACCAAGGCUUGACAUGGACCGGACCGCCGCAGAAAUGCGGUUUCCCUUCGGGGCCGGUUUACAGGUGGUGCAUGGUUGUCGUCAGCUCGUGUCGUGAGAUGUUGGGUUAAGUCCCGCAACGAGCGCAACCCUCGUUCUAUGUUGCCAGCGCGUUAUGGCGGGGACUCAUAGGAGACUGCCGGGGUCAACUCGGAGGAAGGUGGGGAUGACGUUAGUCAGUCAA
RNAcentral lists this unclassified non-coding RNA (321 nucleotides) under uncultured Micrococcaceae bacterium. Its description in RNAcentral is "contains 16S-23S intergenic spacer region". It matches the Rfam family "Bacterial small subunit ribosomal RNA", at positions 875 to 1196 of the family's 1533-position model. The record is from RNAcentral. Lineage: Bacteria; Bacillati; Actinomycetota; Actinomycetes; Micrococcales; Micrococcaceae.